Long non-coding RNA from Sorghum bicolor (sorghum), 1024 nucleotides. RefSeq lists it as uncharacterized. NCBI's taxonomy places the organism in Eukaryota, Viridiplantae, Streptophyta, Magnoliopsida, Poales, Poaceae. The transcript is spliced from 2 exons. The record is from RefSeq and is a predicted model, not a curated record.
AUGCUCCUCACACCCCUUCCUGCAAACAAAUAGAGAUGAGAAGAUGAGAGAGGGGGCCGGGAGAGGGACCUGAGAAGAUGAGGGAAAGAUAUGAAGCUAUUUGCUUCUGAGUGGAAUGUUGUCUGGUUCAAGGUCUCGCUUGUGAUUUAAGGAUGAUUUGUGCAUGCGUAAUUUUUAUUCCUUGAAUCUAUGAGAUCUCGGACCAGGCUUCAUUCCCCUCAGCAAUAGCUUCAAAUGAUAUCGCGAGAGUUAGGAGCUAGUACUAUAUAAAUUUGGUCUGGCUCUUUGAUUUUGAAAUACUCGUUAGCUGGAGUGUUUGUGAGAUCCCUGGGUGUUCUUAGUAUGUUGUGGGGUACUGUACUUCCACUCCUGGAUCUUAUUACUCCACUGUGCCUUUUUUGUUUGCUUGUUUGUUGGGAAUCGAGGAGCAGCAAAGAUUGGUGUAAUGAUGGCCUGCUUUGACUCCUCUUUCCUCUGUGUAUCUGGCAGGUUUGAGGAUAAUUUGUGGUGCCAGACCUGCUUCAAAGGUUUGGAGAGCUUCCGGACAAGAUCCAGUAUCUAUAUGCGCGUAUUUUCUUCAUGUUAUGUUGGUCCCCCUGGAGGUUGUUACAUAUGUUUUCAAACAUCAGGAGCUCCUGUAUUCCAAUAACAAGAUAACAUCGAUGUAUAAAUACUCCAGUGUGUGUUUGUUCUUCGCAUCAGGCCGGCAGCGCCUGAUAUAUGAGGUGUUGCCUAUUGAUGCAGAGCAGUGUGUGAACUCGUUUGAUGUACGGAGUACGUCUGUAUGGAGAUUUGAAUGGUUCGAUUAUUAGUCUUUUGCCUCUUACAUUUUUGAAGUGAUGUCUGUGUAUGAAUCUUCGUACUCAUAAGAGAAGUAACCUGAUAUAUGAGUUUUUAUUUCUGCCUGUGUAAUCUUUGAGCUACCAAGCAAAUACUGUAUAUUUGAUCGAUGUGCCUUGUACUUCCUUUGUUUCAGAAAAAGGCAAACUGUAUAUACUUUGUGUCGCAUGAACACUACUUGUUG